AAGUCGUAACAAGGUUUCCGUAGGUGAACCUGCGGAAGGAUCAUUAACACGUGUCCCACGUAUCAAACCAAACUGAGAACUGUGAACGAAUAUCCGGGAUAAGCUAGAUGGCGUGGCAGUAAAGUCCAGGGAUGGGCCUACUUCGGUGGGUUGUACUCUGGGUUCCCCACAUUUGGGUUAAACCGUUAACCAAAACCAUUAUUCAUUAUUAUUAUCGUCUUAAGAACUGUCGUGCUGACUGAGAGGAUCGUGAAGUAGCUAGCUCCUCGGAGCCGGCCAAAAGCUUUACUUGAAUGUUAGUAAUGAUGUCUUAUUACAAACUAUGUACAACUAUUAGCAAUGGAUAUCUUGGUUUCC
RNAcentral lists this unclassified non-coding RNA (357 nucleotides) under fungal sp. Its description in RNAcentral is "partial internal transcribed spacer region". The stretch from base 1 to 46 matches the Rfam family "Eukaryotic small subunit ribosomal RNA", at positions 1786 to 1831 of the family's 1831-position model. The record is from RNAcentral. Lineage: Eukaryota; Fungi.